RNAcentral lists this transfer RNA (67 nucleotides) under Chanohirata hamata. RNAcentral's name for it is "tRNA-Asn". Lineage: Eukaryota; Metazoa; Arthropoda; Insecta; Hemiptera; Cicadellidae. The record is from RNAcentral.
UUAAUUAAAGCUAAAAAAAAGAGGCAUUUCAUUGUUAAUGAAAAAAUUGAUUAAAAAUCUAAUUAAA